CCUAUAAUAUAAAUGAAUACAAAUAAAAACAAACAAAUCGAACCAAACUAUAAAAAGUACUUGUUAUUUUUAAAGUUUAAAGAAACUAUGUAAGGCAAAUAGUACUAAAUAAAAAAAAAGGAGCAAUAACGCCCUCUUGUUUUAUCAAGAGGGAAGCUAUUGCUCCUUUUUUAGUUCAAAAACUCCUAUACAAUCAGACCAAAGUC
RNAcentral lists this unclassified non-coding RNA (206 nucleotides) under Helianthus decapetalus. RNAcentral describes it as "partial trnH-psbA intergenic spacer". Lineage: Eukaryota; Viridiplantae; Streptophyta; Magnoliopsida; Asterales; Asteraceae. The record is from RNAcentral.